This 467-nucleotide ribosomal RNA is filed under the name uncultured bacterium. RNAcentral describes it as "partial 16S ribosomal RNA". It matches the Rfam family "Bacterial small subunit ribosomal RNA", at positions 28 to 506 of the family's 1533-position model. The record is from RNAcentral.
GGCGAACGCUGGCGGCGUGCUUAACACAUGCAAGUCGAACGGAAAGGCCCUGCUUUUGUGGGGUGCUCGAGUGGCGAACGGGUGAGUAACACGUGAGUAACCUGCCCUUGACUUUGGGAUAACUUCAGGAAACUGGGGCUAAUACCGGAUAGGAGCUCCUGCUGCAUGGUGGGGGUUGGAAAGUUUCGGCGGUUGGGGAUGGACUCGCGGCUUAUCAGCUUGUUGGUGGGGUAGUGGCUUACCAAGGCUUUGACGGGUAGCCGGCCUGAGAGGGUGACCGGCCACAUUGGGAAUGAGAUACGGCCCAGACUCCUACGGGGGGGAGCGGUGGGGAAUAUUGCACAAGGGGCGGAAGCCUGAUGCAGCAACGCCGGGUGCGGGAGGACGGCCUUCGGGUUGUAAACCGCUUUCGCCUGUGACGAAGCGGGAGUGGCGGUAAUGGGAAAAGAAGCACCGGCUAACUACGU